This 130-nucleotide ribosomal RNA is filed under the name Heyndrickxia coagulans. Its description in RNAcentral is "partial 23S ribosomal RNA". It matches the Rfam family "Bacterial large subunit ribosomal RNA", at positions 2795 to 2925 of the family's 2925-position model. The record is from RNAcentral. Lineage: Bacteria; Bacillati; Bacillota; Bacilli; Caryophanales; Bacillaceae.
CCCCUCAAGAUGAGAUUUCCCACAGUUUAACUGGUAAGAUCCCUGAAAGAUGAUCAGGUUGAUAGGUCCGGGGUGGAAGCGCGGUGACGCGUGCAGCUGACGGAUACUAAUCGAUCGAGGACUUAACCAA